AUGCAAUUGAAAAAGUUGUUACCACAGGUACAGACACAAGGCCUUAUUGCAAGUGAUGCAAUGCAUGCUUCCAUUGACUCGAAAUGUGAAAUUUCGGAGAGUCAAUCUUUGUCUAGGCCAAGGGCCCACUAUAGUAAAUUUAUGCCAUCUGAUGAUCAGAUUUCUGUUGUUUCCCAUGAAAUCGAGGAUGAAAUAAGUAUGGGUGGUUCAGCUAUUUCUGAUGAAAAUAAUAAUGAUGCCCACUCUCAGUCACAACAUUCUCAUGAAAAAGACUUUUCUCUGUUUAGUGAAGGAGCACCAGGAUCUACCGAUCCAGUUCAAUGGAAUAAUUUUCUCCAUAAAUUGACAACCAAAUUAAAAAUAGAUUGUUCAGAGGAAACUGAAGUAGAUUCAGUCAGAACUUCCUAUUUGCCUUCAAGACUAAAUCCUGGCAAUUCAAAUAAAUCAACUAAUUUAAAAUUACCUUUAGAGGGUACUACAGUUGAAGUUUUCAAGAAUGUUGAAAAGGAAGCUAUGUCUGGUAGACUUAAAAAUAGGUCAGUUCGUCUAAGAGAUGAUAAGGCUUUUAUGGUGUCGAAAAAAGAUUUCACAGAAUUUUGUUCCCCUCCAAGGCUUGAUGAUAAUAUUGAGGAGGGUUUGUCAUCUACUAUGGGCAAUAAGAAAAAAGGUUUUGUAGACCGUAAAAAGUUUUCACACUCUUUACCUUCCUUCCAUAAGGAAAUGGAUGCUGAAUUUAAAAAGGUUGACAACUCAGCUAGGACAUUGUUAAGAAGUGUUUCAUAUGGCUCUUUGAUAGCAAGCUAUAUUGAUGUUGCUGAUUCAGAGGAAGACAGGGUAGAAGCAUGUUCAGCUUUAGUAGCAUGUUUCAAGUCUAUGGCAGAUAUGACUUCACGUAUAGUUGCUAAUUCUGUUAUAAACAGAAGAAAAAUUUUCUUAAAAAAUGUUGAUUUUACUAGCAAAGCCACAUCAGCUAAAUUGUUGAAUUUACCUUUGAAUGGCGCACAACUUUUUGGUGGUAAAUAUUUUGAUACUUUGCAUUCCUCAGCUGAAAAAUAUAAGAGAUGCUAAAGAAACACAAAACGUUUAUCGUUCUUCAUUUGUUCCUGGAGGGCAAAAAUUUGAUGAAGGAUCUAGAAAAAGAAAAUCUCAAGAAACUUCUAAUGUAUCCUACAACAAACCUGCAAAAACAUCAAGAUAUGAUAAGCAGGAUUUUAAUGACCGUCGUGGCACUGACACUUCGUCUAAUUUUCGUGCCUUGCCAGCAAAACAAAGGCUUUUUUAUGGAAAAAUUCCUCCCAGAAAAAUUUCAAGAAAUAAACAAUUAUUUGUCUGCGGUAAGUCUCCAGGUAGGAGCACGGUUGUUACAUUACCACAGUCAGUGGUUUCAAAUAACUCAAGACAAGUUAGUACUUCAGAUAGUGAAGAACGGUUUAAUUUUAGAUUUCAUAAGUCUUCCAGCUUUUACAGGAGUAAAAGAGACAGUUGUACCCAGAGUAGGUACAAAAAGGUCUUCUAUAUUAGAAGAGGUAAAUUCUUUGUUAGAAAAACAUGCUAUAGAGCCUGUCCCGACAAGUGCAGAAAAUCAGGGUUAUUACAGUACAAUAUUCAUGGUACCAAAAAGACAAGGAGGUCUCAGACCAAUUCUAAAUUUAAAACCACUAAACCAGUUUGUCAUACCUCAUCACUUCAAAAUGGAAACCCUCCGAUCGAUUCUAAAAAGUCUGAAAAUUGGGGACUGGGCAGUAAAACUGGAUUUGCAAGAUGCAUAUUUCCAUAUACCCAUUCACAAACAUUACAGAAAAUUUCUCCGCUUCAGCAUUUUGGGAAAAAGUAUCAAUACCGAGCUCUACCAUUCGGUCUACGAUCGGCUCCAAGGAUUUUCACAAAAGUGAUGGCAGUAGUAGGUGCGUUUCUGCGAAAACAAAUGAUUCACAUAUUUAUGUACCUGGACGAUUGGAUGUUAAAAAACAGCAGCAAAGUAAAGCUGACAAAACAAUUACAGUACACUCAAGAAUUGUUGAAAAAUCUGGGUUUGAUAAUCAAUGUGAAAAAAUCUUGUUUAGUUCCGACUCAAAUAAUAGAGUAUCUAGGAGCAGUGAUUCACUUAAAAGAAGGUCUUGUGUUUCCGUCUCUAGAGAGAUUCAAAAAUAUAAGUCAGAUGAUUCAAAUAUUCCUAAAUUCACAAACAGUAGAGGCACGUGUAAUGUUGAGACUACUUGGUCUAAUGGCUUCAUGCAUAGAUUUAGUUCCAUGGGCCCGACUGCACAUGAGACCACUUCAGCUUUAUCUUCUAGCUUGGUGGAGACCAGCUCUACACAGUUUAAAUCAUUUGAUUCCACUGUAUCAACCACUCCAGGAACAUCUAUUCUGGUGGCUAAACCGAAGAAAUUUUUUCAAGGGAGUGCUAUUAGAACAGGAAUCUGCUCAGGUGACUCUAGUGACAGAUGCGUCACAGUCGGGAUGGGGAGCUCAUAUAAACAAUUAUCAGAUAGCAGGUGUUUGGUCGCCUCAGUACAAAGUAAAACACAUCAAUUGGCUAGAACUCAAAGCUGUGCAGUUAGCACUGCAAACAUUUCUGAUAAAAGUACAAUUCAAAAGUGUGCUAGUGAGAACAGACAAUGCAACUGUCGUCAGUUAUCUGAACAAACAGGGAGGUACGCGAUCCCCAGACCUUUGUUACUUGGCAUGGGAUCUUUUGAAAUGGUGUAUAAAUCACAAUGUCAAAAUCCAAGCUGUUCAUAUUCCGGGAAAAAAGAAUAUUAUAGCAGAUGCCCUGUCAAGGGGGAAAAUGACCAUUCGUUUGACAGAAUGGGCAUUAAAUAUGACAAUAGUGAAUUUGUUGUUCCUUCAGCUAGGAACACCAGUAAUAGAUCUGUUUGCGACUUCAAUGAACAAGAAGCUGCCAGUGUUUUGCUCUCCUUGGCCGGAAGAAACAGCAGUGUCAAUAGAUGCACUGUCAAUGAAAUGGACAAAUCUAUUUGCUUAUGCAUUCCCGCCACCGAUCAUUCUAAACAGAGUAUUACAAAAAAUACAGAAAGAGGACUGUGUAAUUUUACUGAUAGCGCCAAUGUGGCCGAGACAGUCGUGGUACAGUCAACUUCUCAACCUGUUAAUAGACUUUCCAAUACAACUGCCUGUACAACAAAAUCUAUUAAGUCAAAAUGGAAUUUUUCAUCCAAAUCCAAGUGUUCUAAAUCUUGUAGCUUGGAAAGUGUCAAAAGAUCUUACACUGCAAAAGGAUUUUCACCAAAAAUUGCUUCAAUUAUUUCCAAUGCACGAAAACAAUCAACACAGACAGUUUAUAAUGCAAGACUCAAGCUAUUUGACAGCUGGUGUCAAGAACGGAGUAUCAAUCCCAGUACGGCAACUGUGCCAGAAAUAGCUGAAUUUCUUAUGUUCUUACAUACUGUAAAGAAUUGUAAGCCAAGCACUUUAGCUGGUUACAAGUCAGCAAUAGCUUUAAUACAUUCAUCUAAAGAUAGAAUUUCUAUUAACAUGGAUUUGCGUAAUUUAAUUAAAGGAUUGUACAACAUUAAUCCACCAAUAAGGCAGUUGGCGCCAAAUUGGGAUUUGCCGUUGGUUUUGCUAGUGUUGACAAAGACACCUUUUGAACCACUAGAAGAAGCAGAAUUGAAAUAUUUAACCUUAAAGACAGUUUUUCUUAUGGCAUUAGCUUCUGCUGCAAGAGUCAGUGAAUUACACAGUUUCACUAUUAAUGACAAACAUUUCAGGAAAGAGCAAAGAGGUAUACGGUUGUUGCCAAAUAUGCAAUUUCUUGCUAAAACUCAAACUUUGAAUAAACCAUGGGAACCAGUAUUCAUUCCCAAAUUUGAAAACUAUGCUACAGAUCCAAACGAUUUACUGCUGUGCCCUUGUAGAGCACUACUAGCUUAUAUUAAAAGAACUGAAGUUUUGCGCAAAUCACAAAGACUCUUUGUAACAUAUCAAAAGAAUCAUCAUGUAGAGGCUUCUAAGAAUUCCAUUGCACGAUGGAUUGUGAACACGGUUAAAUAUGCAUAUGAACAUGCAGAUACAGACACACUUCAGUUUGUGAGAGCUCAUGAUACAAGAAAGCUCUCAACUUCUUGGGCUUUAUUCAAUGGACUUUCCUCUCAAGAAAUUUUAAGAGCAGCUCAUUGGUCAAAUGAGACAACAUUCACCUCAUAUUACUUGAAGGAUGUACCAGAUUUGGAAUCUCGGUUUGCAAAAGCUGCAAUUUUGCAUACGGCUAACAGAAGACAGAAGAAGUAUUAA
Molecule: small RNA, 4254 nt
Filed under: Mytilus galloprovincialis (Mediterranean mussel)
Lineage: Eukaryota; Metazoa; Mollusca; Bivalvia; Mytilida; Mytilidae
Source: RNAcentral